Indicator indicator is the source of this 637-nucleotide long non-coding RNA. RefSeq lists it as uncharacterized. The transcript has 3 exons. NCBI's taxonomy places the organism in Eukaryota, Metazoa, Chordata, Aves, Piciformes, Indicatoridae. The record is from RefSeq and is a predicted model, not a curated record.
AGCAGUCACUGGGAUCUGGGGGAGCUGGAAUCCAUCCAGUGAGGGACAAAACAGGAUUUUAAGACCUUAGUCCUUCUAAAAUUGCCACGUGUGGUUACAUCAGGUGUCUCUGCCUGCUUGGAAGCUUAAGCACAGGCUCGGUACUGAUGCAACUAAUUCCUGUCCUGGCUGGGUUCAUUGUUCCAAGAUGGAGUUUUUCUGCUGGAGAUGGAAGCCGACAAGAAAUGUUCCUGUGACUUUCUCCCUGAGCCAGCAGGCUGCCCAGCCCUGCACCCAGCUGUCAUGUGUAGGGUGGAAAAUGUGCCUCUGACCUGCUGUGUGAUCUGUCCACCUUUACUUCUGCGGUGCCAAACCAUCCUCUCACACCCCUCCUGCCUUCUCUGCUUCAUCCCCAUCUCCAGUCUAUUUGCCAGACCUUUGCUCUUCCUUGGAGAAUUGAUGCUAAUCCUCCAUACAAUUUCACCAGCAUUUGAAGGGCCUUGACACUUCUUAUUCCACUAAUCUAGAGAGGAGGAUUCUGGAGAUGGCUUCAUAUAUCCCCCUUCUGCCCCCAGCCCUGCAUGACCUUGGCUUUAUCUCCACAAAUCGUCUCACUGAGGAAGCGGACAAGUAAGCCUCCAUCCAAGUAAACUUCUUA